GAUGAACGCUGGCGGCGUGCCUAAUACAUGCAAGUCGAGCGAACAGACGAGGAGCUUGCUCCUCUGACGUUAGCGGCGGACGGGUGAGUAACACGUGGAUAACCUACCUAUAAGACUGGGAUAACUUCGGGAAACCGGAGCUAAUACCGGAUAAUAUAUUGAACCGCAUGGUUCAAUAGUGAAAGACGGUUUUGCUGUCACUUAUAGAUGGAUCCGCGCCGCAUUAGCUAGUUGGUAAGGUAACGGCUUACCAAGGCAACGAUGCGUAGCCGACCUGAGAGGGUGAUCGGCCACACUGGAACUGAGACACGGUCCAGACUCCUACGGGAGGCAGCAGUAGGGAAUCUUCCGCAAUGGGCGAAAGCCUGACGGAGCAACGCCGCGUGAAUGAUGAAGGUCUUCGGAUCGUAAAACUCUGUUAUUAGGGAAGAACAAAUGUGUAAGUAAAUAUGCACGUCUUGACGGUACCUAAUCAGAAAGCCACGGCUAACUACGUG
Molecule: ribosomal RNA, 497 nt
Filed under: uncultured bacterium
Lineage: Bacteria
Description: partial 16S ribosomal RNA
Rfam family: Bacterial small subunit ribosomal RNA
Source: RNAcentral